UGGCGCAGCUUGGUAGCGCGCUUGACUGGGGGUCAAGAGGUCGUGGGUUCAAAUCCCGC
RNAcentral lists this transfer RNA (59 nucleotides) under Brevibacterium sp. HMSC07C04. Its description in RNAcentral is "tRNA-Pro". It matches the Rfam family "tRNA", at positions 8 to 63 of the family's 71-position model. From Rfam's summary of the family: Transfer RNA (tRNA) molecules are approximately 80 nucleotides in length. Their secondary structure includes four short double-helical elements and three loops (D, anti-codon, and T loops). Further hydrogen bonds mediate the characteristic L-shaped molecular structure. tRNAs have two regions of fundamental functional importance: the anti-codon, which is responsible for specific mRNA codon recognition, and the 3' end, to which the tRNAs corresponding amino acid is attached (by aminoacyl-tRNA synthetases). tRNAs cope with the degeneracy of the genetic code in two manners: having more than one tRNA (with a specific anti-codon) for a particular amino acid; and 'wobble' base-pairing, i.e. permitting non-standard base-pairing at the 3rd anti-codon position. The record is from RNAcentral. Lineage: Bacteria; Bacillati; Actinomycetota; Actinomycetes; Micrococcales; Brevibacteriaceae.